UACGGGGGGGGCAAUCGUUGUUCGGAAUUACUGGGCGUAAAGGGCGCGUAGGCGGGCGGGCAAGUCCCUCGUGAAAGCCCACGGCUCAACCGUGGAAUUGCGGGGGAAACUGCUCGUCUUGAGUCCGGGAGAGGAGUGUGGAAUUCCCAGUGUAGCGGUGAAAUGCGUAGAUACUGGGAGGAACACCGGUGGCGAAGGCGGCACUCUGGACCGGUACUGACGCUGAGGCGCGAAAGCUAGGGGAGAAAACAGG
RNAcentral lists this ribosomal RNA (253 nucleotides) under uncultured bacterium. Its description in RNAcentral is "partial 16S ribosomal RNA". It matches the Rfam family "Bacterial small subunit ribosomal RNA", at positions 524 to 776 of the family's 1533-position model. The record is from RNAcentral.